GUCGACCGCCUGGGGAGUACGGCCGCAAGGUUAAAACUCAAAUGAAUUGACGGGGGCCCGCACAAGCGGUGGAGCAUGUGGUUUAAUUCGAUGCAACGCGAAGAACCUUACCUACUCUUGACAUCCACGGAAUUUAGCAGAGAUGCUUUAGUGCCUUCGGGAACCGUGAGACAGGUGCUGCAUGGCUGUCGUCAGCUCGUGUUGUGAAAUGUUGGGUUAAGUCCCGCAACGAGCGCAACCCUUAUCCUUUGUUGCCAGCGGUUCGGCCGGGAACUCAAAGGAGACUGCCAGUGAUAAACUGGAGGAAGGUGGGGAUGACGUCAAGUCAUCAUGGCCCUUACGAGUAGGGCUACACACGUGCUACAAUGGCAUAUACAAAGAGAAGCGACCUCGCGAGAGCAAGCGGACCUCAUAAAGUAUGUCGUAGUCCGGAUUGGAGUCUGCAACUCGACUCCAUGAAGUCGGAAUCGCUAGUAAUCGUGGAUCAGAAUGCCACGGUGAAUACGUUCCCGGGCCUUGUACACACCGCCCGUCACACCAUGGGAGUGGGUUGCAAAAGAAGUAGGUAGCUUAACCUUCGGGAGGGCGCUUACCACUUUGUGAUUCAUGACUGGGGUGAAGUCGUAACAAGGUAACCGUAGGGGAACCUGCGGUUGGAUCACCUCCUUACCUUAAAGAA
Molecule: ribosomal RNA, 679 nt
Filed under: Citrobacter freundii
Lineage: Bacteria; Pseudomonadati; Pseudomonadota; Gammaproteobacteria; Enterobacterales; Enterobacteriaceae
Description: bacterial SSU rRNA
Rfam family: Bacterial small subunit ribosomal RNA
Source: RNAcentral